GGCUUAACACAUGCAAGUCGAGGGGCAGCAUUUUAGUUUGCUUGCAAACUGAAGAUGGCGACCGGCGCACGGGUGAGUAACACGUAUCCAACCUGCCGAUAACUCCGGGAUAGCCUUUCGAAAGAAAGAUUAAUACCGGAUAGCAUACGAAUAUCGCAUGAUAUUUUUAUUAAAGAAUUUCGGUUAUCGAUGGGGAUGCGUUCCAUUAGUUUGUUGGCGGGGUAACGGCCCACCAAGACUACGAUGGAUAGGGGUUCUGAGAGGAAGGUCCCCCACAUUGGAACUGAGACACGGUCCAAACUCCUACGGGAGGCAGCAGUGAGGAAUAUUGGUCAAUGGGCGCGAGCCUGAACCAGCCAAGUAGCGUGAAGGAUGAAGGCUCUAUGGGUCGUAAACUUCUUUUAUAUGGGAAUAAAGUUUUCCACGUGUGGAAUUUUGUAUGUACCAUAUGAAUAAGGAUCGGCUAACUCCGUGCCAGCAGCCGCGGUAAUACGGAGGAUCCGAGCGUUAUCCGGAUUUAUUGGGUUUAAAGGGAGCGUAGGUGGAUUGUUAAGUCAGUUGUGAAAGUUUGCGGCUCAACCGUAAAAUUGCAGUUGAAACUGGCAGUCUUGAGUACAGUAGAGGUGGGCGGAAUUCGUGGUGUAGCGGUGAAAUGCUUAGAUAUCACGAAGAACUCCGAUUGCGAAGGCAGCUCACUAGACUGUCACUGACACUGAUGCUCGAAAGUGUGGGUAUCAAACAGGAUUAGAUACCCUGGUAGUCCACACAGUAAACGAUGAAUACUCGCUGUUUGCGAUAUACAGUAAGCGGCCAAGCGAAAGCAUUAAGUAUUCCACCUGGGGAGUACGCCGGCAACGGUGAAACUCAAAGGAAUUGACGGGGGCCCGCACAAGCGGAGGAACAUGUGGUUUAAUUCGAUGAUACGCGAGGAACCUUACCCGGGCUUAAAUUGCAACAGAAUAUAUUGGAAACAGUAUAGCCGUAAGGCUGUUGUGAAGGUGCUGCAUGGUUGUCGUCAGCUCGUGCCGUGAGGUGUCGGCUUAAGUGCCAUAACGAGCGCAACCCUUAUCUUUAGUUACUAACAGGUCAUGCUGAGGACUCUAGAGAGACUGCCGUCGUAAGAUGUGAGGAAGGUGGGGAUGACGUCAAAUCAGCACGGCCCUUACGUCCGGGGCUACACACGUGUUACAAUGGGGGGUACAGAAGGCGGCUACCUGGUGACAGGAUGCUAAUCCCAAAAACCUCUCUCAGUUCGGAUCGAAGUCUGCAACCCGACUUCGUGAAGCUGGAUUCGCUAGUAAUCGCGCAUCAGCCAUGGCGCGGUGAAUACGUUCCCGGGCCUUGUACACACCGCCCGUCAAGCCAUGAAAGCCGGGGGUACCUGAAGUACGUAACCGCAAGGAGCGUCCUAGGGUAAAACUGGUAAUUGGGGCUAAGUCGU
RNAcentral lists this ribosomal RNA (1441 nucleotides) under uncultured organism. RNAcentral's name for it is "SSU rRNA". It matches the Rfam family "Bacterial small subunit ribosomal RNA". The record is from RNAcentral.